GGAGAAUUACCCAAGUCUGGUUGAAGGGAGCGGUCUUGAAAACCGCCAGGUGGUGAAAGCCACGCGGGGGUUCGAAUCCCUCAUUCUCCG
This is a transfer RNA of Spiroplasma eriocheiris, 90 nucleotides long. It matches the Rfam family "tRNA". From Rfam's summary of the family: Transfer RNA (tRNA) molecules are approximately 80 nucleotides in length. Their secondary structure includes four short double-helical elements and three loops (D, anti-codon, and T loops). NCBI's taxonomy places the organism in Bacteria, Bacillati, Mycoplasmatota, Mollicutes, Entomoplasmatales, Spiroplasmataceae. The record is from Rfam.